AACGAACGCUGGCGGCAUGCCUAACACAUGCAAGUCGAACGAGUGCCUUCGGGUGCUAGUGGCGCACGGGUGCGUAACGCGUGGGAAUCUGCCCCUUGGUUCGGAAUAACGGCUGGAAACGGUCGCUAAUACCGGAUGACGACGAAAGUCCAAAGAUUUAUCGCCGAGGGAUGAGCCCGCGUUGGACUAGCUAGUUGGUGUGGUAAAGGCGCACCGAGGCGACGAUCCAUAGCUGGUCCGAGAGGAUGAUCAGCCACAUUGGGGCUGAGACACGGCCCAAACUCCUACGGGAGGCAGCAGUGGGGAAUAUUGGACAAUGGGCGCAAGCCUGAUCCAGCCAUGCCGCGUGAGUGAUGAAGGCCUUAGGGUUGUAAAGCUCUUUCACCGAUGAAGAUAAUGACGGUAGUCGGAGAAGAAGCCCCGGCUAACUUCGUGCCAGCCGCCGCCGUAA
RNAcentral lists this ribosomal RNA (451 nucleotides) under uncultured bacterium. Its description in RNAcentral is "partial 16S ribosomal RNA". It matches the Rfam family "Bacterial small subunit ribosomal RNA", at positions 29 to 523 of the family's 1533-position model. The record is from RNAcentral.